UACGUAAGGUCCGAGCGUUGUCCGGAAUCAUUGGGUGUAAAGGGUACGUAGGCGGAUAAGCAAGUUAGCAGUGAAAUCCUAUAGCUCAACUAUAGUAAGCUUUUAAAACUGCUUAUCUUGAGUUAUGGAAGGGAAAGUGGAAUUUUUAGUGUAGCGGUGAAAUGCUCAGAUAUUACAAAGAAUACCGAUUGCGAAGGCAACUUUCUGG
Molecule: ribosomal RNA, 208 nt
Filed under: uncultured bacterium
Lineage: Bacteria
Description: partial 16S ribosomal RNA
Rfam family: Bacterial small subunit ribosomal RNA
Source: RNAcentral